GCUGGGGGAUUAGUGGCGAACGGGUGAGUAACACGUGAGUAACCUGCCCUUAACUCUGGGAUAAGCCUGGGAAACUGGGUCUAAUACCGGAUAUGACUCCUCAUCGCAUGGUGGGGGGUGGAAAGCUUUUUGUGGUUUUGGAUGGACUCGCGGCCUAUCAGCUUGUUGGUGAGGUAAUGGCUCACCAAGGCGACGACGGGUAGCCGGCCUGAGAGGGUGACCGGCCACACUGGGACUGAGACACGGCCCAGACUCCUACGGGAGGCAGCAGUGGGGAAUAUUGCACAAUGGGCGAAAGCCUGAUGCAGCGACGCCGCGUGAGGGAUGACGGCCUUCGGGUUGUAAACCUCUUUCAGUAGGGAAGAAGCGAAAGUGACGGUACCUGCAGAAGAAGCGCCGGCUAACUACGUGCCAGCAGCCGCGGUAAUACGUAGGGCGCAAGCGUUAUCCGGAAUUAUUGGGCGUAAAGAGCUCGUAGGCGGUUUGUCGCGUCUGCUGUGAAAGACCGGGGCUCAACUCCGGUUCUGCAGUGGGUACGGGCAGACUAGAGUGAUGUAGGGGAGACUGGAAUUCCUGGUGUAGCGGUGAAAUGCGCAGAUAUCAGGAGGAACACCGAUGGCGAAGGCAGGUCUCUGGGCAUUAACUGACGCUGAGGAGCGAAAGCAUGGGGAGCGAACAGGAUUAGAUACCCUGGUAGUCCAUGCCGUAAACGUUGGGCACUAGGUGUGGGGGACAUUCCACGUUUUCCGCGCCGUAGCUAACGCAUUAAGUGCCCCGCCUGGGGAGUACGGCCGCAAGGCUAAAACUCAAAGGAAUUGACGGGGGCCCGCACAAGCGGCGGAGCAUGCGGAUUAAUUCGAUGCAACGCGAAGAACCUUACCAAGGCUUGACAUGGACCGGAUCGCUGCAGAAAUGUGGUUUCCCCUUUGGGGUCGGUUCACAGGUGGUGCAUGGUUGUCGUCAGCUCGUGUCGUGAGAUGUUGGGUUAAGUCCCGCAACGAGCGCAACCCUCGUUCUAUGUUGCCAGCACGUGAUGGUGGGGACUCAUAGGAGACUGCCGGGGUCAACUCGGAGGAAGGUGGGGACGACGUCAAAUCAUCAUGCCCCUUAUGUCUUGGGCUUCACGCAUGCUACAAUGGCCGGUACAAAGGGUUGCGAUACUGUGAGGUGGAGCUAAUCCCAAAAAGCCGGUCUCAGUUCGGAUUGGGGUCUGCAACUCGACCCCAUGAAGUCGGAGUCGCUAGUAAUCGCAGAUCAGCAACGCUGCGGUGAAUACGUUCCCGGGCCUUGUACACACCGCCCGUCAAGUCACGAAAGUUGGUAACACCCGAAGCCGG
This 1337-nucleotide ribosomal RNA is filed under the name Arthrobacter sp. Its description in RNAcentral is "bacterial SSU rRNA". It matches the Rfam family "Bacterial small subunit ribosomal RNA", at positions 83 to 1430 of the family's 1533-position model. Lineage: Bacteria; Bacillati; Actinomycetota; Actinomycetes; Micrococcales; Micrococcaceae. The record is from RNAcentral.